CUACAUCUCCUCAACCACAGCAACAGGAAAGGACACAGGGAAGAUGAAAAGCUGUUUGCUCCUAACUGCUUUUAUUGACUGAAUUUGGGAGCUGCCAGAGCAACACAAGGUAGACAUGUCAAAGAAAAGAAAACUACGGAGAGGGAAGUGGGGAAGACUGCUCUUGUUUUAUACAAAACCUCCUGAGGAGAGGCAAGAAAACAGGAGAAGACUGGCUUUUUAA
Molecule: long non-coding RNA, 223 nt
Filed under: Callithrix jacchus (white-tufted-ear marmoset)
Lineage: Eukaryota; Metazoa; Chordata; Mammalia; Primates; Cebidae
Description: lncRNA (ENSCJAG00000080532.1)
Source: RNAcentral